CCCUUAGAUGUUCUGGGCCGCACGCGUGCUACACUGAGUGGAUCAGCGGGUCAGGUUGCGCGAAAGCGUUUCCUAAUCUUUAAAUCCGCUCGUGAUGGGGAUUGACGGUUGCAAUUUUCUGUCAUGAACGAGGAAUAACUUGUAAGCGCGGGUCAUCAUCCCGCGCUGAAUACGUCCCUGCCCUUUGUACACACCGCCCGUCGCUCCUACCGAUUGAGUGGUCCGGUGAGGCUUUGGGAUCUGAGCGGAAAGAGCGUUUCGCUGUUUCUGCUCGGAAAACUCAGUCGAACCUUAUCAUUUAGAGGAAGGAGAAGUCGUAACA
Molecule: ribosomal RNA, 322 nt
Filed under: uncultured eukaryote
Lineage: Eukaryota
Description: partial 18S ribosomal RNA
Rfam family: Eukaryotic small subunit ribosomal RNA
Source: RNAcentral